Molecule: long non-coding RNA, 889 nt
Organism: Pan troglodytes (chimpanzee)
Lineage: Eukaryota; Metazoa; Chordata; Mammalia; Primates; Hominidae
Gene: KCNJ5-AS1
Product: KCNJ5 antisense RNA 1
Exons: 4
Source: RefSeq, a predicted model, not a curated record
GGGCUGGAGGGGUGGGGGUGAGGGGCAGGAGUGCUUCAAACACCUUGAAGAUAAGGAAGGAGAAUCAGCAAGUCCCGAGUUCCUACGGUGUGUCCGCAUCGUGCUCCCACUCCCGGGAGAGAGACAUUAUCUUCAGUUUACAAAAGGGGAAAGCAGGUCUGGGGUUUCCAGAGUCCGCGGUUUUGCCAAGAAGCCGCAGUGAUGUUGACGCGGCUGGUCCUCAGUGCACACCUGAGUAGCACGACCUCUCCGCCCUGGACGCACGCUGCCAUCAGCUGGGAGCUGGACAACGUGCUGAUGCCUAGUCCCAGAAUCUGGCCCCAGGUGACUCCAACAGGCAGGUCUGCCUCUGCCAGGAGUGAGGGUAGCACCUCCUCACUCUGGAAUUUCUCAGCUGGGCAGGAUGUGCAUGCCAUAGUAACCAGAACCUGUGAGUCUGUGCUGAGCUCUGCCGUCUACACCCACGGCUGUGGCUAUGUGAGGUCUGCCACAAACAUUACCUGUCAGUCCUCAGGACAACAAAGGCAGGCGGCCCGGCAGGAAGAGGAGAACUCAAUCUGCAAGGCCCAUGAUAGUAGAGAGGGCCGCCUGGGCUACCCCCUCAGUGCCCAUCAGCCUGGUUCCGGUGGUCCUAACUAGCCCUGUCUCCUUGCCAAUAGCCCUGUGCUCCCAAGCCCCCUCCCCCUUGCAGACGGCUGCUAUGACAUCCCUGUUCCUUAAAGUGUGGGGUUCCUCGCUGCCUUCUCCUCCCUAACUGGCACCCUGUGCAAACCUGCUGCAGAGAACAGCGUCUCGGGCAGUGCGAUAGUCCUCCAGUUCACCAACAGUAAAAGUGGUCUCAAUGGGGAGAGCUGUCUGACUGCAAGCGCUGAGUCCUUCCAGGGGAGGG